CCCAGACUCCUACGGGAGGCAGCAGUGGGGGAUAUUGCAUAAUGGGGGGGACCCUGAUGCAGCGACGCCGCGUGGGUGAAGGAGCGUUUCGGCGCGUAAAGCCCUAUCGGCAGGGAAGAAGGAGGACGGUACCUGACUAAGAAGCCCCGACUAACUACGUGCCAGCAGCCGCGGUAAUACGUAGGGGGCAAGCGUUAUCCGGAUUUACUGGGUGUAAAGGGGGCGCAGACGGCAGCGCAAGCCAGGAGUGAAAGCCCGGGGCCCAACCCCGGGACUGCUCUUGGAACUGCGCGGCUGGAGUGCAGGAGGGGCAGGCGGAAUUCCUGGUGUAGCGGUGAAAUGCGUAGAUAUCAGGAGGAACACCGGUGGCGAAGGCGGCCUGCUGGACUGCGACUGACGUUGAGGCUCGAGAGCGUGGGGAGCAAACAGGAUUAGAUACCCGUGUAAG
Molecule: ribosomal RNA, 448 nt
Filed under: uncultured bacterium
Lineage: Bacteria
Description: partial 16S ribosomal RNA
Rfam family: Bacterial small subunit ribosomal RNA
Source: RNAcentral